RNAcentral lists this ribosomal RNA (262 nucleotides) under uncultured bacterium. Its description in RNAcentral is "partial 16S ribosomal RNA". It matches the Rfam family "Bacterial small subunit ribosomal RNA", at positions 335 to 594 of the family's 1533-position model. The record is from RNAcentral.
GAUCCUACGGGAGGCAGCAGUGAGGAAUAUUGGUCAAUGGGCGAGAGCCUGAACCAGCCAAGUCGCGUGAGGGAAGACGGUCCUAUGGAUUGUAAAUCUCUUUUGCCGGGGAGCAAAAAGCGGUACGUGUACCGCAUCGAGAGUACCCGGAGAAAAAGCAUCGGCUAACUCCGUGCCAGCAGCCGCGGUAAUACGGAGGAUGCGCGCGUUAUCCGGAUUUAUUGGGUUUAAAGGGUGCGCAGGCGGCGAGGUAAGUCGGCGG